Molecule: ribosomal RNA, 750 nt
Filed under: uncultured bacterium
Lineage: Bacteria
Description: bacterial SSU rRNA
Rfam family: Bacterial small subunit ribosomal RNA
Source: RNAcentral
AGAGUUUGAUCCUGGCUCAGAAUCAACGCUGGCGGCGGCUUAACACAUGCAAGUCGAACGAGAAAGCCCGCAAGGAGUAAAGUGGCGUACGGGUGAGUAACACGUGGGUAAUCUACCUUUUGGUGGGGAAUAACGCUGGGAAACCGGCGCUAAUACCGCAUAAGCUCGGAAGAGGAAAAGAGAAAUCUGCCGAAAGAGGAGCCCGCGGCUGAUUAGCUAGUUGGUGAGGUAAAGGCUCACCAAGGCUAUGAUCGGUAGCCGGCCUGAGAGGGCACACGGCCACACUGGCACUGAAACACGGGCCAGACUCCUACGGGAGGCAGCAGUGGGGAAUCUUGCACAAUGGGGGAAACCCUGAUGCAGCGACGCCGCGUGAGCGAUGAAGCCCUUCGGGGUGUAAAGCUCUUUCGGCAGGGACGAUAAUGACGGUACCUGAAGAAGAAGCUGCGGCUAACUACGUGCCAGCAGCCGCGGUAAUACGUAGGCAGCAAGCGUUGUUCGGAGUUACUGGGCGUAAAGAGUGCGUAGGCGGUUUUCUAAGUUUGGUGUGAAAUCUCCCGGCUUAACUGGGAGGGUGCGCCGAAGACUGGAAGGCUUGAGUAUGGGAGAGGUAAGCGGAAUUCCUGGUGUAGCGGUGAAAUGCGUAGAUAUCAGGAGGAACACCUGCGGUGUAGACGGCUUACUGGACCAUAACUGACGCUGAGGCACGAAAGCGUGGGUAGCAAACAGGAUUAGAUACCCUAGUAGUCC